RNAcentral lists this ribosomal RNA (253 nucleotides) under uncultured bacterium. RNAcentral describes it as "partial 16S ribosomal RNA". It matches the Rfam family "Bacterial small subunit ribosomal RNA", at positions 524 to 776 of the family's 1533-position model. The record is from RNAcentral.
UACGGAGGGGGCUAGCGUUGUUCGGAAUUACUGGGCGUAAAGCGCGCGUAGGCGGACCUGCAAGUCGGAGGUGAAAGCCCGAGGCUUAACCUCGGAACUGCCCUCGAUACUGCGGGUCUCGAGUCCGGGAGAGGUGAGUGGAAUUCCUAGUGUAGAGGUGAAAUUCGUAGAUAUUAGGAAGGACACCAGUGGCGAAGGCGGCUCACUGGCCCGGUACUGACGCUGAGGCGCGAAAGCUAGGGGAGCAAACAGG